RNAcentral lists this ribosomal RNA (508 nucleotides) under uncultured Glomus from Thlaspi praecox. Its description in RNAcentral is "SSU rRNA". It matches the Rfam family "Eukaryotic small subunit ribosomal RNA", at positions 569 to 1078 of the family's 1831-position model. Lineage: Eukaryota; Fungi; Glomeromycota; Glomeromycetes; Glomerales; Glomeraceae. The record is from RNAcentral.
AGCAGCCGCGGUAAUUCCAGCUCCAAUAGCGUAUAUUAAAGUUGUUGCAGUUAAAAAGCUCGUAGUUGAAUUUCGGGGUUAGUAGGUUGGUCAUGCCUCUGGUAUGUACUGGUCUCACUGAUUCCUCCUUCCUGAUGAGCCGUAAUGCCAUUAAUUUGGUGUUGCGGGGAAUUUGGACUGUUACUUUGAAAAAAUUAGAGUGUCUAAAGCAAGCUAACGCUUGAAUACAUUAGCAUGGAAUAAUGAAAUAGGACGUUCGAUCCUAUUUUGUUGGUUUCUAGGAUUGACGUAAUGAUUAAUAGGGAUAGUUGGGGGCAUUAGUAUUCAAUUGUCAGAGGUGAAAUUCUUGGAUUUAUUGAAGACUAACUACUGCGAAAGCAUUUGCCAAGGAUGUUUUCAUUAAUCAAGAACGAAAGUUAGGGGAUCGAAGACGAUCAGAUACCGUCGUAGUCUUAACCAUAAACUAUGCCGACUAGGGAUCGGAUGAUGUUAAUUUUUUAAUGACUCA